CGGUAAUACGGAGGAUCCAAGCGUUACUUAAGAUCAUUAACUCUAGAGGGCUUAUAGGCGGUCAGAUAAGUCAGUGGUGAAAAUUACUCGGCGUUUGGUGGAACGGCCAUUGAUACUGUCUGACGGAGGCUUAGGAAGUAACUGAGGUAUGUAGUGUAGCGGUAGGAUGCUUAGAGAUUACAUGGAAUACCAAUUGCGAAGGCAGGUUACUACUAAUGGAUUGACGCUGAUGGACGAAAGCGUGGGUAGCGAACAGGAUUAGCAUGAGACUUAGUCCACGCCGUAGGUAAUGGAUACUAGCUGUUGGGAGCAAUCUCAGUGGCUAAGCGAAAGUGAUAAGUAUCCCAGAGAAAGAGUACGUUCGCAAGAAUGAA
RNAcentral lists this ribosomal RNA (374 nucleotides) under uncultured bacterium. Its description in RNAcentral is "bacterial SSU rRNA". It matches the Rfam family "Bacterial small subunit ribosomal RNA", at positions 518 to 898 of the family's 1533-position model. The record is from RNAcentral.